This is a long non-coding RNA of Solanum dulcamara, 984 nucleotides long. RefSeq lists it as uncharacterized. The record is from RefSeq and is a predicted model, not a curated record. The transcript has 3 exons. NCBI's taxonomy places the organism in Eukaryota, Viridiplantae, Streptophyta, Magnoliopsida, Solanales, Solanaceae.
ACAACAACAAGAACAACAUAUCCAAUAAAAUUUCACAAGUGAGGUCUGAGGAGGAUAUAAUAUACGUAAACCUUACAAUUAUAUUAUGGAAGUAGAUAGACUGUUUGUGAAAUGAACAAAUUUCGUUCCGGGUCUUGCUUCUCAUCUUCUAAGUAGGGAAAAGGCUGAAAAAGGAGGGUAUGUUCAGAUCUAAUUAAAAAGUGGAGAUAGUUGGGCCAUAUAUCGAAAUUGGGCACUAGAUGGAAAUAAAAAAACCCUAAAUUUCUCUUCCCACAUACGGAAGGAAUACAUUUUGGAGUCCUAAUCUCUAUUUAGUGAAAGUGAGUUUACAGUCUCUCUCACCUUUUUUUCUAUUGAAACUACUGUAGCAUAUGUGAUGAAAUUAUGAUGCGAAGUUGAACAACGCCAUGGGUUUCAAAUUCGUGUUUACUAAAGGCGGACAUGAUCACCCACAUCAUAUGUAACAUGCUCACUUCUCCAGCGAAUAAAUAUUUUCUCUAUGUUAAUAUGGGGAAUAGAUGAUCCAUUUGGCACUCGGGAUGAAGUCUUACAAAUUGCAAGCAAAUUGAGCAUUUUCAUAACUAUUGAUCUUUGAUUACAUAAGCAUUAUGAGUAUAGUAGCAACACUUUCUCUGAAGAAUGUUAGUGUGUACUUGGGAGCAGCUCCGAUUGUUGAAUGUCUUCACAAUUUUAGACCGAAUGUCAUUUUUACUUCUCGAGUUGCUGAUGCUUCCUUAUUCUUAGCCCCAAUGGUAUAACACUAGAUCCCUUUUUCAUUCCAAUACUCCUGGAACAGACAUUUAUUCAUUCACUUGUAUAAUACUGUUAUAAGGAUGGGGCAUUUUUCAUCUUCAUAUGAAAUUAGCUCCAAUUGUAGUUAUAAGGUGAAAACUGCCUUCUUGUUACCACUUAUUGGAGGAAACAAUUCAAAGCUAUCUUGUAAUAUAUAAGUGAAAGAAGCAGAAUCUUUAUGAGGUAUUUGAA